UACGGAGGGUGCAAGCGUUAUCCGGAUUCACUGGGUUUAAGGGUGCGUAGGUGGGCAAGUAAGUCAGUGGUGAAAUCUCCGGGCUUAACCCGGAAACUGCCAUUGAUACUAUUUGUCUUGAAUACUGUGGAGGUCAGCGGAAUAUGUCAUGUAGCGGUGAAAUGCUUAGAUAUGACAUAGAACACCAAUUGCGAAGGCAGCUGGCUACACAAAUAUUGACACUGAGGCACGAAAGCGUGGGGAUCAAACAGG
Molecule: ribosomal RNA, 252 nt
Filed under: uncultured bacterium
Lineage: Bacteria
Description: partial 16S ribosomal RNA
Rfam family: Bacterial small subunit ribosomal RNA
Source: RNAcentral